RNAcentral lists this non-coding RNA (31 nucleotides) under Rattus norvegicus (Norway rat). The record is from RNAcentral. Lineage: Eukaryota; Metazoa; Chordata; Mammalia; Rodentia; Muridae.
UAGAAGGUCAUGAGGCACCAAAGAAGGUCAC